Molecule: ribosomal RNA, 1390 nt
Filed under: uncultured bacterium
Lineage: Bacteria
Description: 16S ribosomal RNA
Rfam family: Bacterial small subunit ribosomal RNA
Source: RNAcentral
UUUGAUCCUGGCUCAGGAUGAACGCUAGCGGCAGGCUUAACACAUGCAAGUCGAGGGGCAUCGCGGGUGGCAACACCUGGCGGCGACCGGCGAACGGGUGAGUAACGCGUGAGCAACAUGUCCUCAGUCGGGGGAUAAGCGAGGGAAACUUCGUCUAAUACCCCAUAACACUUUCAGGCGCAUGCCUUUAAGUUGAAAGCUUUUUUUGCGACUUUGGUUUGGCUCGCGUGACAUUAGCUAGUCGGUGGGGUAACGGCUCACCGAGGCUACGAUGUCUAGGGGUUCUGAGAGGAAGGCCCCCCACACUGGGACUGAGACACGGCCCAGACUCCUACGGGAGGCAGCAGUGAGGAAUAUUGGACAAUGGAUGGAAAUCUGAUCCAGCCAUGCCGCGUGCAGGAAGACGGCCUUAUGGGUUGUAAACUGCUUUUAUACGGGAGCAAUAAGGGUUACGAGUAAUCCGAUGAGAGUACUGUAUGAAUAAGGAUCGGCUAACUCCGUGCCAGCAGCCGCGGUAAUACGGAGGAUCCGAGCGUUAUCCGGAAUUAUUGGGUUUAAAGGGUGCGUAGGCGGCCAUUUAAGUCAGCGGUGAAAUUUUGCAGCUUAACUGUAACAGUGCCGUUGAUACUGUUUGGCUAGGAUUUGGUUGUAGUGUGCGGAAUGUGUGGUGUAGCGGUGAAAUGCUUAGAUAUCACGAGGAACUCCGAUUGCGCAGGCAGCUUACUAAACCACUACUGACGCUCAUGCACGAAGGCGUGGGGAUCAAACAGGAUUAGAUACCCUGGUAGUCCACGCAGUAAACGAAGAUUACUAGUUGUUUGCGAUACAAUGUAAGCGACUGAGCGAAAGCGUUAAGUAAUCCACCUGGGGAGUACGUUCGCAAGAAUGAAACUCAAAGGAAUUGACGGGGGCCCGCACAAGCGGAGGAACAUGUGGUUUAAUUCGAUGAUACGCGAGGAACCUUACCCGGGCUUGAAAUGCGGCGGACCGGCAGAGAGAUCUGCCUUCCCUUCGGGGCCGCCGUGUAGGUGCUGCAUGGUUGUCGUCAGCUCGUGCCGUGAGGUGUCGGCUUAAGUGCCAUAACGAGCGCAACCCUCAUCAUUAGUUACUAACAGGUCAUGCUGAGGACUCUAGUGAGACUGCCAUCGUAAGAUGCGAGGAAGGUGGGGAUGACGUCAAAUCAGCACGGCCCUUACGUCCGGGGCGACACACGUGUUACAAUGGGUGGUACAAAGGGCAGCUACCUGGCGACAGGAUGCUAAUCUCCAAAACCACUCUCAGUUCGGAUCGGAGUCUGCAACUCGACUCCGUGAAGCUGGAUUCGCUAGUAAUCGCGCAUCAGCCACGGCGCGGUGAAUACGUUCCCGGGCCUUGCACACACCGCCCGUCA